AAACGACUCUCGGCAACGGAUAUCUCGGCUCUCGCAUCGAUGAAGAACGUAGCGAAAUGMGAUACUUGGUGUGAAUUGCAGAAUCCCGUGAACCAUCGAGUCUUUGAACGCAUGUUGCGCCCGAAGCCUUCUGGCCGAGGGCACGCCUGCCUGGGCGUCACGCAU
This 165-nucleotide ribosomal RNA is filed under the name Veronica persica (birdeye speedwell). RNAcentral's name for it is "5.8S ribosomal RNA". It matches the Rfam family "5.8S ribosomal RNA". From Rfam's summary of the family: 5.8S ribosomal RNA (5.8S rRNA) is a component of the large subunit of the eukaryotic ribosome. It is transcribed by RNA polymerase I as part of the 45S precursor that also contains 18S and 28S rRNA. Functionally, it is thought that 5.8S rRNA may be involved in ribosome translocation. Lineage: Eukaryota; Viridiplantae; Streptophyta; Magnoliopsida; Lamiales; Plantaginaceae. The record is from RNAcentral.